GAAUGCUGACAUAAGUAACGAUAAAGCGGGUGAAAAGCCCGCUCGCCGGAAGACCAAGGGUUCCUGUCCAACGUUAAUCGGGGCAGGGUGAGUCGACCCCUAAGGCGAGGCCGAAAGGCGUAGUCGAUGGGAAACGGGUUAAUAUUCCCGUACUUGGUGUUACUGCGAAGGGGGGACGGAGAAGGCUAUGUUGGCCGGGCGACGGUUGUCCCGGUUUAAGCGUGUAGGUGUGUGUUCCAGGUAAAUCCGGUUCACUUUAACACUGAGGCGUGACGACGAGGCACUACGGUGCUGAAGCAACAAAUGCCCUGCUUCCAGGAAAAGCCUCUAAGCAUCAGGUAACAUCAAAUCGUACCCCAAACCGACACAGGUGGUCAGGUAGAGAAUACCAAGGCGCUUGAGAGAACUCGGGUGAAGGAACUAGGCAAAAUGGUGCCGUAACUUCGGGAGAAGGCACGCUGACACGUAGGUGAAGUGAUUUACUCAUGGAGCUGAAGUCAGUCGAAGAUACCAGCUGGCUGCAACUGUUUAUUAAAAACACAGCACUGUGCAAACACGAAAGUGGACGUAUACGGUGUGACGCCUGCCCGGUGCCGGAAGGUUAAUUGAUGGGGUCAGCGCAAGCGAAGCUCCUGAUCGAAGCCCCGGUAAACGGCGGCCGUAACUAUAACGGUCCUAAGGUAGCGAAAUUCCUUGUCGGGUAAGUUCCGACCUGCACGAAUGGCGUAAUGAUGGCCAGGCUGUCUCCACCCGAGACUCAGUGAAAUUGAACUCGCUGUGAAGAUGCAGUGUACCCGCGGCAAGACGGAAAGACCCCGUGAACCUUUACUAUAGCUUGACACUGAACAUUGAGCCUUGAUGUGUAGGAUAGGUGGGAGGCUUUGAAGCGUGGACGCCAGUCUGCGUGGAGCCGACCUUGAAAUACCACCCUUUAAUGUUUGAUGUUCUAACGUGGACCCGUGAUCCGGGUUGCGGACAGUGUCUGGUGGGUAGUUUGACUGGGGCGGUCUCCUCCUAAAGAGUAACGGAGGAGCACGAAGGUUGGCUAAUCCUGGUCGGACAUCAGGAGGUUAGUGCAAUGGCAUAAGCCAGCUUGACUGCGAGCGUGACGGCGCGAGCAGGUGCGAAAGCAGGUCAUAGUGAUCCGGUGGUUCUGAAUGGAAGGGCCAUCGCUCAACGGAUAAAAGGUACUCCGGGGAUAACAGGCUGAUACCGCCCAAGAGUUCAUAUCGACGGCGGUGUUUGGCACCUCGAUGUCGGCUCAUCACAUCCUGGGGCUGAAGUAGGUCCCAAGGGUAUGGCUGUUCGCCAUUUAAAGUGGUACGCGAGCUGGGUUUAGAACGUCGUGAGACAGUUCGGUCCCUAUCUGCCGUGGGCGCUGGAGAACUGAGGGGGGCUGCUCCUAGUACGAGAGGACCGGAGUGGACGCAUCACUGGUGUUCGGGUUGUCAUGCCAAUGGCACUGCCCGGUAGCUAAAUGCGGAAGAGAUAAGUGCUGAAAGCAUCUAAGCACGAAACUUGCCCCGAGAUGAGUUCUCCCUGAGACUUAGAGUCUCCUGAAGGAACGUUGAAGACGACGACGUUGAUAGGCCGGGUGUGUAAGCGCAGCGAUGCGUUGAGCUAACCGGUACUAAUGAACCGUGAGGCUUAACCUUACAACGCCGAAG
Molecule: ribosomal RNA, 1667 nt
Filed under: Salmonella enterica
Lineage: Bacteria; Pseudomonadati; Pseudomonadota; Gammaproteobacteria; Enterobacterales; Enterobacteriaceae
Also listed under: 1 other name
Description: partial 23S ribosomal RNA
Rfam family: Bacterial large subunit ribosomal RNA
Source: RNAcentral